GAAAUGCGAUACGUAAUGUGAAUUGCAGAUUUCAGUGAAUCAUCGAAUCUUUGAACGCACAUUGCGCCCGCUAGUAUUCUGGCGGGCAUGCCUGUUCGAGCGUCAUUUCAACCAUCAAGCGCCCGCGCUUAUGUUAGAGCCCUACGGCUGCCGCAAGCUCCUAAACCUAGUAGCGGGCUCGUUGUCGUACCGAGUGCAGUAAACAUCCUCGCUUAGGGAACGCGUCGGGUACCGGCCGUAAAACACCCAACUAUAUUAAGGUUGACCUCGGAUCAGGUAGGAAUACCCGCUAAACUUAA
RNAcentral lists this unclassified non-coding RNA (299 nucleotides) under uncultured fungus. Its description in RNAcentral is "sequence contains ITS1". The stretch from base 1 to 105 matches the Rfam family "5.8S ribosomal RNA", at positions 50 to 154 of the family's 154-position model. The record is from RNAcentral. Lineage: Eukaryota; Fungi.